AUUGAACGCUGGCGGCAGGCUUAACACAUGCAAGUCGAGCGAGCGGAGGACGGGUGAGUAAUGUCUGGGAAACUGCCUGAUGGAGGGGGAUAACUACUGGAAACGGUAGCUAAUACCGCAUACCAUCAGAUGUGCCCAGAUGGGAUUAGCUAGUAGGUGGGGUAAAGGCUCACCUAGGCGACGAUCACUAGCUGGUCUGAGAGGAUGACCACCCACACUGGAACUGAGCCACGGUCCAGACUCCGACGGGAGGCAGCAGUGGGGAAUAUUGCACAAUGGGCGCAAGCCUGAUGCAGCCAGGCCGCGUGUGUGAAGAAGGCCUUCGGGUUGUAAAGUACUUUCAGCGAGGAGGCGUUACCCGCAGAAGAAGCACCGGCUAACUCCGUGCCAGCAGCCGCGGUAAUAC
This 406-nucleotide ribosomal RNA is filed under the name uncultured bacterium. RNAcentral describes it as "partial 16S ribosomal RNA". It matches the Rfam family "Bacterial small subunit ribosomal RNA", at positions 30 to 526 of the family's 1533-position model. The record is from RNAcentral.